This 449-nucleotide ribosomal RNA is filed under the name uncultured prokaryote. RNAcentral describes it as "bacterial SSU rRNA". It matches the Rfam family "Bacterial small subunit ribosomal RNA", at positions 355 to 796 of the family's 1533-position model. The record is from RNAcentral.
UCGAGAAUCUUCCACUAAUGUGCGAAAGCAUGAUGGAGCGACGCCGCGUGGGGGAUGAAGGCCUUCGGGUUGUAAACUCCUGUCACAUGGAGCUAAUUGCGUAGAGUUAAUACCUUUUGCGCUUGAAGUGCCAUGAGAGGAAGCACCGGCUAAAUUCGUGCCAGCAGCCGCGGUAAUACGAAUGGUGCAAGCGUUGUUCGGAAUCACUGGGCAUAAAGCGCGCGUAGGCGGUGAUGUGUGUCAGUUGUGAAAUCCCUCGGCUCAACCGAGGAACUGCAACUGAAACUGCAUUACUAGAGUGUGGGAGGGGAGAACGGAAUUCCUGGUGGAGCGGUGAAAUGCAUAGAUAUCAGGAGGAACGCCGGAAGCGAAAGCGGUUCUCUGGCCCACUACUGACGCUGAGGUGCGAAAGCUAGGGGAGCAAACAGGAUUAGAUACCCCCGUAGUCC